AUUGAACGCUGGCGGCAGGCCUAACACAUGCAAGUCGAGCGGAUGAGGGGAGCUUGCUCCCUGAUUUAGCGGCGGACGGGUGAGUAAUGCCUAGGAAUCUGCCUGGUAGUGGGGGAUAACGUUCCGAAAGGAACGCUAAUACCGCAUACGUCCUACGGGAGAAAGCAGGGGACCUUCGGGCCUUGCGCUAUCAGAUGAGCCUAGUUCGGAUUAGCUAGUUGGUGAGGUAAUGGCUCACCAAGGCGACGAUCCGUAACUGGUCUGAGAGGAUGAUCAGUCACACUGGAACUGAGACACGGUCCAGACUCCUACGGGAGGCAGCAGUCGGGAAUAUUGGACAAUGGGCGAAAGCCUGAUCCAGCCAUGCCGCGUGUGUGAAGAAGGUCUUCGGAUUGUAAAGCACUUUAAGUUGGGAGGAAGGGCUGCUGGUUAAUACCCUGCAGUUUUGACGUUACCAACAGAAUAAGCACCGGCUAACUUCGUG
This 484-nucleotide ribosomal RNA is filed under the name uncultured bacterium. RNAcentral's name for it is "partial 16S ribosomal RNA". It matches the Rfam family "Bacterial small subunit ribosomal RNA", at positions 30 to 507 of the family's 1533-position model. The record is from RNAcentral.